Molecule: ribosomal RNA, 459 nt
Filed under: Gilvossius setimanus
Lineage: Eukaryota; Metazoa; Arthropoda; Malacostraca; Decapoda; Callianassidae
Description: partial large subunit ribosomal RNA
Rfam family: Bacterial large subunit ribosomal RNA
Source: RNAcentral
UCUGGCCUGCCACUGAUUUUAUUUAAAGGCCGCGGUAUACUGACCGUGCGAAGGUAGCAUAAUAAUUAGUCUUUUAAUUGAAGACUGGAAUGAACGGUCGGACAAGGAGAAAACUGUCUCGUAAUUAAAAAUUGAAAUUAACUUUUAAGUGAAAAGGCUUAAAUAAUUUUAAAGGACGACAAGACCCUAUAAAACUUUAUAUAAUUAAACUAACUCCUAACCUAUAAGUAUAACAGGAGAAAGUCAUAAUUGUAUUUCGUUGGGGCGACGAAAGUAUAAACGUAACUGCUUUUAUAUUAAAACAAUAAUAUUUGAAAAAAUGACCCUUGUUAAAGAUCUAAAGAAAAAGUUACUUUAGGGAUAACAGCGUUAUUUUUUUUGAGAGUCCUUAUCGACAAAAAAGUUUGCGACCUCGAUGUUGAAUUAAAGUCCCAUUAUAAUGCAGCAAUUAUAAAGUUA